RNAcentral lists this ribosomal RNA (1012 nucleotides) under Escherichia coli. RNAcentral's name for it is "partial 23S ribosomal RNA". It matches the Rfam family "Bacterial large subunit ribosomal RNA", at positions 138 to 1191 of the family's 2925-position model. The record is from RNAcentral. Lineage: Bacteria; Pseudomonadati; Pseudomonadota; Gammaproteobacteria; Enterobacterales; Enterobacteriaceae.
UUUCGACACACUAUCAUUAACUGAAUCCAUAGGUUAAUGAGGCGAACCGGGGGAACUGAAACAUCUAAGUACCCCGAGGAAAAGAAAUCAACCGAGAUUCCCCCAGUAGCGGCGAGCGAACGGGGAGGAGCCCAGAGCCUGAAUCAGUGUGUGUGUUAGUGGAAGCGUCUGGAAAGGCGUGCGAUACAGGGUGACAGCCCCGUACACAAAAAUGCACAUAUUGUGAGCUCGAUGAGUAGGGCGGGACACGUGGUAUCCUGUCUGAAUAUGGGGGGACCAUCCUCCAAGGCUAAAUACUCCUGACUGACCGAUAGUGAACCAGUACCGUGAGGGAAAGGCGAAAAGAACCCCGGCGAGGGGAGUGAAAAAGAACCUGAAACCGUGUACGUACAAGCAGUGGGAGCCUCUUAAUGGGGUGACUGCGUACCUUUUGUAUAAUGGGUCAGCGACUUAUAUUCUGUAGCAAGGUUAACCGAAUAGGGGAGCCGAAGGGAAACCGAGUCUUAACUGGGCGUUAAGUUGCAGGGUAUAGACCCGAAACCCGGUGAUCUAGCCAUGGGCAGGUUGAAGGUUGGGUAACACUAACUGGAGGACCGAACCGACUAAUGUUGAAAAAUUAGCGGAUGACUUGUGGCUGGGGGUGAAAGGCCAAUCAAACCGGGAGAUAGCUGGUUCUCCCCGAAAGCUAUUUAGGUAGCGCCUCGUGAAUUCAUCUCCGGGGGUAGAGCACUGUUUCGGCAAGGGGGUCAUCCCGACUUACCAACCCGAUGCAAACUGCGAAUACCGGAGAAUGUUAUCACGGGAGACACACGGCGGGUGCUAACGUCCGUCGUGAAGAGGGAAACAACCCAGACCGCCAGCUAAGGUCCCAAAGUCAUGGUUAAGUGGGAAACGAUGUGGGAAGGCCCAGACAGCCAGGAUGUUGGCUUAGAAGCAGCCAUCAUUUAAAGAAAGCGUAAUAGCUCACUGGUCGAGUCGGCCUGCGCGGAAGAUGUAACGGGGCUAAACCAUG